CUCGAGUUGGAAGAGGCG
RNAcentral lists this microRNA (18 nucleotides) under Homo sapiens (human). RNAcentral describes it as "hsa-miR-4444". RNAcentral also lists the same sequence under 1 other name. Lineage: Eukaryota; Metazoa; Chordata; Mammalia; Primates; Hominidae. The record is from miRBase by way of RNAcentral.